ACAGCCUGCUGAGCAGCUGUGGGCCAGUCAGAUGUACCAAGAUGGUUUCACAGGCUCCACUCCUCUGCCUGUUACUGCUCUGCAUCCACGGUUCAAGUGGAGACCGUGUGAUGACCCAGACUCCAGAGUCCCUGGCCGUGUUCCCUGGAGACACCGCCACCAUCAAGUGCAAAUGCAGCUCCAGCCUCACAUCCGCAGGAAAGGAGUUCCUAGCCUGGUACCAGCAGAAACCUGGACAAGCUCCUAAACUCAUCAUCACUUUUGCUUCUACACGGCAACCGGGAGUCCCGGCCCGCUUCAGCGGCAGUGGGUCUGGAACAGAUUUCAUUCUCACCAUCAGCCGGGUGGAAGCUGAAGAUGCUGGACAUUAUUACUGUCAGCAGAAGUAUGGUACCCCACUCACAGUGAUACAAACCAGUGCAAAAACCUCCCGGCACUCUUCAGACCAGCACGGCAGGUGGAGCGAGGAGCCAGAAGCAGAUCCUGAUGCCGGUAACAGUGGCAGAGGGAACAAGGAGCCCAAAGAGGACCCUGAUGCCGGUAACAGCGGAGGAGGGAACGAGGAGCCAGAAGAAGCCUCUGAUGCCAGCAGCAUCGAUGGAGGGGCCGGAGAGCUGGACAUGGCUCUCUAUGCUAUAAUAGGUGGGACCGUCGAGGGCACCAGGGAGGCAGAAGAGACACUCCCUCCAGGAAGCAGCAGGCAGGGACAGCACAAGGGGCUGUGA
Molecule: non-coding RNA, 725 nt
Organism: Alligator sinensis (Chinese alligator)
Lineage: Eukaryota; Metazoa; Chordata; Crocodylia; Alligatoridae
Source: the annotation of a RefSeq genome assembly